GAGACAUUAUAGUUGGAUGACUUGUUGCGGUGAACAAAAUAACAGAGCCAUCACCCCUUUCUUCUCCCCCAUCCCAAAACUCUUUAGAACCAAAAAAAAAAAAAAAAAAAAAAAGGAAAUACUUCGAAAGAAGAAGAAAAAAGAUUUUAGAAUUAGGAAGAUGAAGUAUUCUGUGACUUUGUUGUGGUGGGAGACGAUUGACAUUUAGCAAUUCUCUUUAUAUUAAUGGUUUAUUUAUUGGCAUUGUCAUGUUGCACCCAGCAGGAGUCGUUGUGCAGGCCAUGGUUCUGUGUCAAAAGUGCUAGUUAUUUCAUAUAUUAUCUGCACUUGACCUAAAAGAAAUGUAA
This 347-nucleotide unclassified non-coding RNA is filed under the name Hevea brasiliensis (rubber tree). Lineage: Eukaryota; Viridiplantae; Streptophyta; Magnoliopsida; Malpighiales; Euphorbiaceae. The record is from RNAcentral.